UGGCUCAGAACGAACGCUGGCGGCAGGCCUAACACAUGCAAGUCGAGCGCCGUAGCAAUACGGAGCGGCAGACGGGAGAGUAACACGUGGGAACGUACCCUUUGGUUCGGAACAACCCAGGGAAACUUGGGCUAAUACCGGAUAAGCCCUUACGGGGAAAGAUUCAUCGCCGAAGGAUCGGCCCGCGUCUGAUUAGCUAGUUGGUGAGGUAAUGGCUCACCAAGGCGAGGAUAAGUAGCUGGUCUGAGAGGAUGAUCAGCCACACUGGGACUUUCUCUCGGCCCAGGGACCUACGGGAGGC
RNAcentral lists this ribosomal RNA (301 nucleotides) under uncultured Hyphomicrobiales bacterium. RNAcentral's name for it is "bacterial SSU rRNA". It matches the Rfam family "Bacterial small subunit ribosomal RNA", at positions 20 to 349 of the family's 1533-position model. Lineage: Bacteria; Pseudomonadati; Pseudomonadota; Alphaproteobacteria; Hyphomicrobiales. The record is from RNAcentral.